RNAcentral lists this ribosomal RNA (492 nucleotides) under uncultured bacterium. RNAcentral's name for it is "partial 16S ribosomal RNA". It matches the Rfam family "Bacterial small subunit ribosomal RNA", at positions 29 to 507 of the family's 1533-position model. The record is from RNAcentral.
AGUGAACUCUGGCGGUAGGCCUAACACAUGCAAGUCGAACGGCAGCACAGUAAGAGCUUGCCCUUACGGGUGGCGAGUGGCGGACGGGUGAGGAAUACAUCGGAAUCUACUUUUUCGUGGGGGAUAACGUAGGGAAACUUACGCUAAUACCGCAUACGACCUACGGGUGAAAGCAGGGGAUCUUCGGACCUUGCGCGAUUGAAUGAGCCGAUGUCGGAUUAGCUAGUUGGCGGGGUAAAGGCCCACCAAGGCGACGAUCCGUAGCUGGUCUGAGAGGAUGAUCAGCCACACUGGAACUGAGACACGGUCCAGACUCCUACGGGAGGCAGCAGUGGGGAAUAUUGGACAAUGGGCGCAAGCCUGAUCCAGCCAUACCGCGUGGGUGAAGAAGGCCUUCGGGUUGUAAAGCCCUUUUGUUGGGAAAGAAAAGCAGCAGGUUAAUACCCCGCUGUUCUGACGGUACCCAAAGAAUAAGCACCGGCUAACUUCGUG